UGCUGUAUAGCUCACUCGGUAAAGCAUCGCGUUGUGAAGCUGAAGUGACUAUCACGUCGCGGGUUCGAGCCCCGCUUCAUAC
Non-coding RNA from Gymnothorax javanicus (giant moray), 82 nucleotides. Lineage: Eukaryota; Metazoa; Chordata; Actinopteri; Anguilliformes; Muraenidae. The record is from the annotation of a GenBank genome assembly.